GGCGGUUCUUUAGCCAGUUAUAAAAAGAACUGGAGCUGCAAGCAAAAAUGUAUGUCAAAGCUGUAAUCAUCCUUCUGUUGGUCGUCAUAACAACGGGAUACCACCACUCGUACUCGGGGUACCACCACUCGUACUCGGGGUACUAUCCUGGUCGCUCGUACGGUCAGAGUUGCCAUGCCAGAUGUAGAAUGCACCACCAGACGUGUCUGCGUGAGACUGGCUGUGACUACAACACGGGAGGGUGCAUGGGCCAAUGUUCGUCUGCCUUUAAUUCCUGCUCGAGUAACUGUUCCAGACGCGGGCCAGGCCGAUAUAUUCGUUGACGCCACAUCCACCAGAAACAGUGGAGUGAUUACGGUGGUCGUCGAUUUAGAGUUAUCUCUCCCUAACUGCACAGUGACUUCCGGCAAAUCAGAAACGCACAAAUAACCAAGCAGAACAUUUAUCAAAGAGUAUAUAAUUUGAUAUUUGGCAUGUAUUCGUGAAUCAAAAUAAAUGGUACUGCUUUAA
Molecule: long non-coding RNA, 510 nt
Organism: Gigantopelta aegis
Lineage: Eukaryota; Metazoa; Mollusca; Gastropoda; Neomphalida; Peltospiridae
Exons: 2
Source: RefSeq, a predicted model, not a curated record